Molecule: ribosomal RNA, 483 nt
Filed under: uncultured bacterium
Lineage: Bacteria
Description: partial 16S ribosomal RNA
Rfam family: Bacterial small subunit ribosomal RNA
Source: RNAcentral
AUUGAACGCUGGCGGAAUGCUUUACACAUGCAAGUCGAACGGCAGCACGGGGGCAGCCCUGGUGGCGAGUGGCGAACGGGUGAGUAAUACAUCGGAACGUGCCCGGUCGUGGGGGAUAACGUAGCGAAAGUUACGCUAAUACCGCAUACGAUCUGAGGAUGAAAGCGGGGGACCUUCGGGCCUCGCGCGAUCGGAGCGGCCGAUGUCAGAUUAGGUAGUUGGUGGGGUAAAGACCUACCAAGCCGACGAUCUGUAGCUGGUCUGAGAGGACGACCAGCCACACUGGGACUGAGACACGGCCCAGACUCCUACGGGAGGCAGCAGUGGGGAAUUUUGGACAAUGGGCGCAAGCCUGAUCCAGCCAUUCCGCGUGCAGGACGAAGGCCUUCGGGUUGUAAACUGCUUUUGUACGGAACGAAAAGGCUCUGGCUAAUACCUGGGGCUCAUGACGGUACCGUAAGAAUAAGCACCGGCUAACUACGU